RNAcentral lists this non-coding RNA (21 nucleotides) under Caenorhabditis elegans. Lineage: Eukaryota; Metazoa; Nematoda; Chromadorea; Rhabditida; Rhabditidae. The record is from RNAcentral.
UAAAGUGGUUAUUUUGGUGCG